GAUGAACGCUGGCGGCGUGCUUGACACAUGCAAGUCGAACGAUGAAGCCCAGCUUGCUGGGUGGAUUAGUGGCGAACGGGUGAGUAACACGUGAGCAACCUGCCCCUGACUCUGGGAUAAGCGCUGGAAACGGCGUCUAAUACUGGAUAUGUCCCGUCACCGCAUGGUGUGCGGGUGGAAAGAUUUUUCGGUUGGGGAUGGGCUCGCGGCCCAUCAGCUUGUUGGUGAGGUAAUGGCUCACCAAGGCGUCGACGGGUAGCCGGCCUGAGAGGGUGACCGGCCACAGUGGGACUGAGACACGGCCCAGACUCCUACGGGAGGCAGCAGUGGGGAAUAUUGCACAAUGGGCGGAAGCCUGAUGCAGCAACGCCGCGUGAGGGAUGACGGCCUUCGGGUUGUAAACCUCUUUUGGCAGGGAAGAAGCGAAAGUGACGGUACCUACAGAAAAAGCACCGGCUAACUACGUG
RNAcentral lists this ribosomal RNA (467 nucleotides) under uncultured bacterium. RNAcentral describes it as "partial 16S ribosomal RNA". It matches the Rfam family "Bacterial small subunit ribosomal RNA", at positions 28 to 507 of the family's 1533-position model. The record is from RNAcentral.